UACGUAGGGUGCUAGCGUUGUCCGGAUUUAUUGGGCGUAAAGAGCUUGUAGGCGGUUUGUCGCGUCUGCCGUGAAAGCCCAGGGCUUAACCCUGGGUCUGCGGUGGGUACGGGCAGACUAGAGUGUGGUAGGGGAGACUGGAAUUCCUGGUGUAGCGGUGAAAUGCGCAGAUAUCAGGAGGAACACCGAUGGCGAAGGCAGGUCUCUGGGCCACUACUGACGCUGAGAAGCGAAAGCAUGGGGAGCAAACAGG
Molecule: ribosomal RNA, 253 nt
Filed under: uncultured bacterium
Lineage: Bacteria
Description: partial 16S ribosomal RNA
Rfam family: Bacterial small subunit ribosomal RNA
Source: RNAcentral